Molecule: ribosomal RNA, 394 nt
Filed under: uncultured bacterium
Lineage: Bacteria
Description: bacterial SSU rRNA
Rfam family: Bacterial small subunit ribosomal RNA
Source: RNAcentral
ACUCCUACGGGAGGCAGCAGUGGGGAAUAUUGCACAAUGGGCGCAAGCCUGAUGCAGCCAUGCCGCGUGUUGGGAAGAAGGCCUUCGGGUUGUAAAGCACUUUCAGUCGUGAGGAAGGUAGUGUAGUUAAUAGCUGAUUAUUUGACGUUAGCGACAGAAGAAGCACGGCUUAACCCCGUUGCCAGCAGCCGCGGUAAUACGGAGGGUGCGAGCGUUAAUCGGAAUUACUGGGCGUAAAGCGCAUGCAGGUGGUUUGUUAAGUCAGAUGUGAAAGCCCGGGGCUCAACCUCGGAAUUGCAUUUGAAACUAGGCAGACUAGAAGUACUGUAGAGGGGGGUAGAAUUUCAGGUGUAGCGGUGAAAUGCGUAAGAGAUCUGAAGGAAUACCGGUGGCG